AUACGUAGGGGGUUAGCGUUAUCCGGAAUUACUGGGCGUAAAGGGCGUGUAGGCGGCCGAGCAAGUCAAGUGUGAAAAGCCCCGGCUUAACCGAGGCAUUGCACAUGAAACUGCAUGGCUUGAGUGCAGGAGAGGGAAGUGGAAUUCCUAGUGUAGCGGUGAAAUGCGUAGAUAUUAGGAGGAACACCAGUGGCGAAGGCGACUUCCUGGACUGUAACUGACGCUGAGGCGCGAAAGCGUGGGUAGCAAACAGGAUUAGAUACCCUGGUAGUCCACGCUGUAAACGAUGGGUACUAGGUGUGGGUAGUUCACUCUAUCCGUGCCGCAGCAAACGCAAUAAGUACCCCGCCUGGGGAGUACGGCCGCAAGGUUGAA
Molecule: ribosomal RNA, 375 nt
Filed under: uncultured bacterium
Lineage: Bacteria
Description: bacterial SSU rRNA
Rfam family: Bacterial small subunit ribosomal RNA
Source: RNAcentral